RNAcentral lists this ribosomal RNA (253 nucleotides) under uncultured bacterium. RNAcentral's name for it is "partial 16S ribosomal RNA". It matches the Rfam family "Bacterial small subunit ribosomal RNA", at positions 524 to 776 of the family's 1533-position model. The record is from RNAcentral.
UACGUAGGGUGCGAGCGUUAAUCGGAAUUACUGGGCGUAAAGCGCGCGUAGGCGGUUUUGUAAGUCGGGUGUGAAAUCCCCAAGCUUAACUUGGGAACUGCAUUCGAGACUGCAUAGCUAGAGUAUGGGAGAGGGAAGUGGAAUUUCAGGUGUAGCGGUGAAAUGCGUAGAUAUCUGAAGGAACAUCAGUGGCGAAAGCGACUUCCUGGACCAAUACUGACGCUCAUGUGCGAAAGCGUGGGGAGCAAACAGG